CAUCACAUUACCUGACUUCAAACUAUACUAUAAGGCUACAGCAACCAAAACAGCAUAGUACUGAUACAAAAACAGACACAUAGACCAAUGGAACAGGAUGGAGAACCCAGAAAUAAAGCCACACUCCUACAACCACUCAAUCUUUGACAAAGUUGACAAAAAUAAGCAAUGAGAAAAAACUUCCUAUUCAAUAAAUGAUGCUGGGAUAACUGGCUAGCCACAUGCAGAGAUUGAAACUGAACCCCUACCUAUAACCAUAUAUAAAGAUUAACUCAACCUAGAUUAAAGACUUGAAUAUAAGACCUUAAACUAUACAAUCCUAGAAGAAAACCUAGGAAAUACUUCUCUUAAUAUCAGCCAUGGCAAAGGAUUUAUGGCGAGGCCCUCAAAGGUAAUUCCAGCAAACACAAAAAUUGACAAGUGGGUUCUAAUCAAUCUAAACAUCUUCUGCACAGGAAAAGAAACUAUCAAGGGAGUAAACAGAAAACCUACAGAAUGGAAGAAAAUAUUUGCAAACUAUGCAUCCGUCAAAGGUUUAAUAUCCCAAAUCUACGAGGAAUUUAAAUCAACAAGCAAAGAAACCAAGUAACCUCAUCAAAAAGUGUGCAAAGAACAUGAACAGACACUUCUAAAGAGAAAACAUACAAGUGGCCAAGAAACAUAUGAAAAAAGGUUCAUGAUUGCUAGUCAUCAGAGAAAUGCAAAGAAAUUGUCUCUAAAAGGAAAAAAAAGUUAUGAAAGGCAGGACUAGCAUCUUUAGAUAAGCUGAAUCCAGAAUAUCAGAAAAUGAUCUUUCUCUUCCUUGGGAUGAUGUCUGAAAUUUUACCAGUUAGAAAUCUACUGGGAUGCGAAAUGGAGGGAGAGACUCUAAUGUGGUAUUUGGCUUCUGUGGAAUAGAGACUCUGGAGCACUAUUGAAAUAGUUCCUUGCGGGUGUGAGAGGAAGGUCCUCACUGUGGGAGGAUGGAACACGGAAGAGGAAAGCAAAGCAGGAUGAACACAGAGUGAGACAGCCAGGCACAGCAAGGCAGCAGCUUCUGUUUCCUGCAGAGAUCAAGGAAUACAGGUGUCUGAAGCUUAAGGACAGGUGGCCUAUUGACUCUGCGUAGAGCAAUGGUGCUCACUUGGCAACACUCACAAUUGAAUCAGUGUCAAAUUGGUAUGUGUGGAGUAGAGUUUGGACAAGGUGAGUUCUACUCUACCUGUAACUGGCAAUGUCAUCUAGGGAACUGUGUAAGUACUUAUGUACCCUCUAUAGGCUCCCCUUUAUGAGAUCCCAAGAAUUGAAGAGUACUGCAAGUUUGAUCCUACUUACCCUAACUGGAUUAACCAAAUCUUGCCGACCUGUGUUUAUUACUAGUACUAAAUAUGAUCUAUGGUGAUAUUCGCUCCUUUUAUUAAUUCAUAUUAAACUUAUGGUAUACUAGAAUUUUGAGUAUUAUCUCACACGUAGCAUUUAAAUUUGUCGUGGAUUGAUACCUUGGACCCUGGAGUCACAGUGCUUCAUUUCAAUUUUGGCUUACCUGCUGGUUUUUGUUUUCUCAUUAGCAAACUGUGGGGUAGUAAUGACAAUACUUCCCACAUAGAUUGUGAGGAUAAGUUGUCCAGGUAAAUCACUCAGCACAGAACCUGAUACAUGAGAAGAGUUCUUUAAACAUUAUCAAUUAAUACUUUUAUUAUCAUCUUUACUUUCUUCUGAAACUAGUCUAUUGAUUCAAGACCAUGGCAUGUGACUCACUGUUCAAGCACAUGGAUUUUCUCCUGGCUAUUCAUUCAUUUUUACAGUAUAUUGACUAUCCCUGCCACCAUAAUAUAAACAAUAUAGCUGAAGAGCUC
RNAcentral lists this long non-coding RNA (1835 nucleotides) under Homo sapiens (human). RNAcentral describes it as "HSALNT0037331". Lineage: Eukaryota; Metazoa; Chordata; Mammalia; Primates; Hominidae. The record is from RNAcentral.